AGCGAACGCUGGCGGCAGGCCUAACACAUGCAAGUCGAACGGACCCUUCGGGGUUAGUGGCGGACGGGUGAGUAACACGUGGGAACGUGCCUUUAGGUUCGGAAUAGCUCCUGGAAACGGGUGGUAAUGCCGAAUGUGCCCUUCGGGGGAAAGAUUUAUCGCCUUUAGAGCGGCCCGCGUCUGAUUAGCUAGUUGGUGAGGUAACGGCUCACCAAGGCGACGAUCAGUAGCUGGUCUGAGAGGAUGACCAGCCACACUGGGACUGAGACACGGCCCAGACUCCUACGGGAGGCAGCAGUGGGGAAUCUUGCGCAAUGGGCGAAAGCCUGACGCAGCCAUGCCGCGUGAAUGAUGAAGGUCGUAGGAUUGUAAAAUUCUUUCACCGGGGACGAUAAUGACGGUACCCGGAGAAGAAGCCCCGGCUAACUUCGUG
Molecule: ribosomal RNA, 433 nt
Filed under: uncultured bacterium
Lineage: Bacteria
Description: partial 16S ribosomal RNA
Rfam family: Bacterial small subunit ribosomal RNA
Source: RNAcentral